This 515-nucleotide ribosomal RNA is filed under the name uncultured bacterium. RNAcentral's name for it is "bacterial SSU rRNA". It matches the Rfam family "Bacterial small subunit ribosomal RNA", at positions 29 to 536 of the family's 1533-position model. The record is from RNAcentral.
AUUGAACGCUGGCGGCGUGCCUAACACAUGCAAGUCGAGCGGUAACAGGUGUAGCAAUACAUGCUGACGAGCGGCGGACGGGUGAGUAACGCUUGGGAAUCUGCCUAUCAGUGGGGGACAACCCGGGGAAACUCGGGCUAAUACCGCAUACGAUCUACGGAUGAAAGCCGGGGACCGCAAGGCCUGGCGCUGAUAGAUGAGCCCAAGUCGGAUUAGCUAGUUGGUAGGGUAACGGCCUACCAAGGCGACGAUCCGUAACUGGUCUGAGAGGACGACCAGUCACACCGGAACUGAGACACGGUCCGGACUCCUACGGGAGGCAGCAGUGGGGAAUAUUGGACAAUGGGGGAAACCCUGAUCCAGCGACGCCGCGUGGGUGAAGAAGGCCUGCGGGUUGUAAAGCCCUUUCGGUUGGGAAGAAAAGCUGCGACCUAACACGUCGCGGCCUUGACGUAGCCAACUAAAGAAGCACCGGCUAACUCUGUGCCAGCAGCCGCGGUAAUACAGAGGGUGCG